RNAcentral lists this ribosomal RNA (443 nucleotides) under uncultured bacterium. Its description in RNAcentral is "partial 16S ribosomal RNA". It matches the Rfam family "Bacterial small subunit ribosomal RNA", at positions 338 to 795 of the family's 1533-position model. The record is from RNAcentral.
CCUACGGGAGGCAGCAGUGGGGAAUAUUGGGCAAUGGGCGCAAGCCUGACCCAGCAACGCCGCGUGAAGGAAGAAGGCUUUCGGGUUGUAAACUUCUUUUCUGAGGGACGAAGAAAGUGACGGUACCUCAGGAAUAAGCCUCGGCUAACUACGUGCCAGCAGGAGCUGUAAUACGUAGGUCGCAAGCGUUAUCCGGAUUUAUUGGGUUUAAAGGGAGCGUAGGCCGCAUGUCAAGCGUGCUGGGAAAUGUCCGGGCUCAACCCGGGCCUUGCAGCGCGAACUGGCGUGCUUGAGUGCGCGGAAAGCAGGCGGAAUUCGUGGUGUAGCGGUGAAAUGCUUAGAUAUGACGAAGAACCCCGAUUGCGAAGGCAGCUUGCUGCAGCGGAACUGACGCUGAUGCUCGAAAGCGCGGGUAUCGAACAGGAUUAGAUACCCGAGUAGUC